GGGGGGGGCGGGGGGGGGGCGGGGGGGGGGGAGGUCGGAGGGGAAGGCCCUGCGUUUGUGGGGUGCUCGAGUGGCGAACGGGGGAGUAACACGUGAGUAACCUGCCCUUGACUUUGGGAUAACUUCAGGAAACUGGGGCUAAUACCGGAUAGGAGCUCCUGCUGCAUGGUGGGGGGUGGAAAGUUUCGGCGGUUGGGGAUGGACUCGCGGCUUAUCCGCUUGUUGGUGGGGUAGUGGCUUACCAAGGCUUUGACGGGUAGCCGGCCUGAGAGGGUGACCGGCCACAUUGGGACUGAGAUACGGCCCAGACUCCUACGGGAGGCAGCAGUGGGGAAUAUUGCACAAUGGGCGGAAGCCUGAUGCAGCAACGCCGCGUGCGGGAUGACGGCCUUCGGGUUGUAAACCGCUUUCGCCUGUGACGAAGCGUGAGUGACGGUAAUGGGUAAAGAAGCACCGGCUAACUACGUG
RNAcentral lists this ribosomal RNA (468 nucleotides) under uncultured bacterium. RNAcentral's name for it is "partial 16S ribosomal RNA". It matches the Rfam family "Bacterial small subunit ribosomal RNA", at positions 26 to 507 of the family's 1533-position model. The record is from RNAcentral.